AGCGUUGUCCGGAAUCAUUGGGCGUAAAGCGCGUGUAGGCGGCUCGGUAAGUCCGCUGUGAAAGUCGGGGGCUCAACCCUCGAAUGCCGGUGGAUACUGGCGGGCUAGAGUGCGGGAGAGGCGAGUGGAAUUCCUGGUGUAGCGGUGAAAUGCGCAGAUAUCAGGAGGAACACCAAUUGCGAAGGCAGCUCGCUGGAACGUAACUGACGCUGAGACGCGAAAGCGUGGGGAGCAAACAGG
RNAcentral lists this ribosomal RNA (240 nucleotides) under uncultured bacterium. RNAcentral's name for it is "partial 16S ribosomal RNA". It matches the Rfam family "Bacterial small subunit ribosomal RNA", at positions 537 to 776 of the family's 1533-position model. The record is from RNAcentral.